CAAUAGCGUAUAUUUAAGUUGUUGCAGUUAAAAAGCUCGUAGUUGGAUUUCGGGUGGGACGCAGCGGUCUCGCAUUGCGUUUGUACUGCUGCAGCCCUCCUUCUUGCCGGGGGCGGCCUCUCGGACUUCACUGUCUGGGGGUCAGAAUCGGCGAUGUUACUUUGAGUAAAUUAGAGUGUUCAAAGCAAGCUUACGCUCUGAAUAUAAUAGCAUGGGAUAACACGACAGGUCUCUGGCCUAUCGUGUUGGUCUAUAGGACCAGAGUAAUGAUUAAGAGGGACAGUCGGGGGCAUUCGUAUUCCGUUGUCAGAGGUGAAAUUCUUGGAUUUACGGAAGACGAACAUCUGCGAAAGCAUUUGCCAAGGAUGUUUUCAUUGA
RNAcentral lists this ribosomal RNA (378 nucleotides) under uncultured eukaryote. RNAcentral's name for it is "partial 18S ribosomal RNA". It matches the Rfam family "Eukaryotic small subunit ribosomal RNA", at positions 592 to 976 of the family's 1831-position model. The record is from RNAcentral.